Small nuclear RNA from Jaculus jaculus (lesser Egyptian jerboa), 104 nucleotides. Lineage: Eukaryota; Metazoa; Chordata; Mammalia; Rodentia; Dipodidae. The record is from Ensembl.
GUGCUCGCUUCGGCAGCUCACAUACUAAAACUGGAAUGAUACAGAGAAGAUUGGCAUGGCCCCUGUGCAAUGACACACAAAUUCAUGUCACAUGCUAGUCUAUA